Long non-coding RNA from Gopherus flavomarginatus (Mexican gopher tortoise), 1166 nucleotides. RefSeq lists it as uncharacterized. NCBI's taxonomy places the organism in Eukaryota, Metazoa, Chordata, Testudines, Testudinidae. The transcript has 2 exons. The record is from RefSeq and is a predicted model, not a curated record.
AGAGCCCAGAUGAUGAACUGUGACAUAAUCCCCCAGUAACUUGCCUCAUGAACACAGUUUUCCAGGCUGCAUUAGAAGCAAAUAACCUCAGCACCCCCCCAUCACGUGAACACCCAGGAAUAACAGCCUUGCUAACAGCCAGCAGCCCAGGGCUGGGCUUUCCUGGAGCUCGGCUGGCCCGGCUCUCCUUAGUUCAGAAUGGCACCAGGAAUGGUGGCCUCUGACAUGGUCUGAGCAGGCUGACCCUGACUCGCACCAGGGUAGCUGGUAUUGUACAGCAGCAGCCUGCGUGACACACAGCUACACAGGACGCUGGAAACUUCCUGUUUCGGGGGGGAAACGGAAGCACCCAUAUCAGCCCCAGCAUGCCAAGGAUGUUCCAGGCCACUGGGCUGCACCCCAGCGAGCCCAUCUGACCUAAAGGGGCAGCCCGGGGCCAUCAGUUAUUCUUCACGCAGGCUCAGCUGGGAAGGAGCAGAGAUGCUGCAGCCCGGGGGGUGGGGAGGGAGGAUGUGUACAUCUCUGAUGCUGCAGAAAGAACCGAAAGUUCAAAUGCAAAACCAGAGAGUGGAUUUGCUGAGGUACAGCAACAGACGGGGCCCAAGGAGAAGAGUUCAACAGCAGAACGUGCCCUUCCCCCACAAGCUGUGCAGUGAGAUAGCAGGAACCGAAAACCUGGCUUCAAGUAUUCACUGAAGGCUAAAGUCAGCUUGACACGCACACAGCCACUUGGAAAGGGAAACUGAAACCAGGCUUUGGUGAAGUGCUCUGGUGCCCUACUGUGACCUGGGCUCAGUUCCCUAGAGACAUGAGUGCUGCUGGGAUGACAGUGCCCCUCACUACCACAGCAUCUCCUGGGGACACGCAGCCAGAGGUCCGAGGAGGGGAUCGCCGUGGGGUGGCUUUGGAGAGCGUCCUGGGAGAUGGAUGGAAUGAGCUGCCAUUAAUCAAAGCCCAGCACAUAAUCAGCACACAUGUAACACAGAGUCGCCCACAUCCCUGAGCCGGCCCCGGCAAACAUGUUGCAGAGGAGAAGACGGCCAUUGAAGCCCUCUGUGCACAGACUCCAGGAGCUGGGCUCAUUCACAAAGCUCCAUCACUUGGCUCGGCCAGGUCUGGCUGUCAGAACUGUUUAAAUAUGGAAAAAAAUAAACAGUUGCAACACG